Molecule: long non-coding RNA, 384 nt
Organism: Neoarius graeffei (lesser salmon catfish)
Lineage: Eukaryota; Metazoa; Chordata; Actinopteri; Siluriformes; Ariidae
Exons: 3
Source: RefSeq, a predicted model, not a curated record
AACAUCGGGCAGCACUAAGAGUCUUAGAUCCAGGUCAGCACUGCCUAUGUCCAGCUCAGGUCCCGUCCUUCCUGCCCUGUGCAUUAUAUGUAAAAAAAAAAAAACCUCAAAUUCGUCUUAAAGGGAGGCAAACGACAAAGGGAAGCUCUUUCAAAAGCUGAGACCUUAACAGCAGGCAAGUUGCAGACUGCUGCUGAGACUAAAGAUGACCACAGUAUUCUGGUACACAUUAAGGACAAAGACUGUGUGGCUCUGGAGGUGCAGUACCACAAGAGCUGCUACCAGCAGUACACCAGAUUUCUGAAUGAGCCUGCUAGACAAGAGAAGGACAAGUCAUUGCCUGGAUGCUGACCCCUGCCUUUUUGCACCAUGCCACAGGACUUU